ACGGAGGGUGCGAGCGUUGUCCGGAAUCACUGGGCUUAAAGGGCGCGUAGGCGGGCUAUCAAGUCCGGGGUGAAAUCCUCCAGCUUAACUGGAGAACUGCCUCGGAUACUGAUGGUCUCGAGGGAGAUCGGGGCAAGCGGAACUGUGGGUGGAGCGGUGAAAUGCGUUGAUAUCCAUAGGAACUCCGGUGGCGAAGGCGGCUUGCUGGAUCUCAUCUGACGCUGAGGCGCGAAAGCCAGGGGAGCAAACGGGA
This 253-nucleotide ribosomal RNA is filed under the name uncultured prokaryote. RNAcentral's name for it is "partial 16S ribosomal RNA". It matches the Rfam family "Bacterial small subunit ribosomal RNA", at positions 525 to 777 of the family's 1533-position model. The record is from RNAcentral.